UUUCGAACAAAUAGAAAAGUU
This 21-nucleotide non-coding RNA is filed under the name Caenorhabditis elegans. The record is from RNAcentral. Lineage: Eukaryota; Metazoa; Nematoda; Chromadorea; Rhabditida; Rhabditidae.